CUGGGGUCCCAAGGGCAGUCCAGACAACCUGAACCUGUGACACUCACCCUGCCCACACACUCUCAGAGCUGCAGCUUUCACGGGGGUGACAUGAAUGCUUGUAAAUGAGCUUGCUGAAUGGGAGACCAAGAACGAUGAUAUUGAGCUGUUACUACAUGCCAGACAUUUAACCCUUUCAUCCAGGUUAUCUCAAUCAUUCCUUACAGAAAGGCUUUUGAGAUGUCCUUGCAACUGGAGGUGCCAUAUGAUACAGUUCUGCCCAAAGACAAGAAAGUGAAUGUCUGUUGAGGGCUUCCUAUAAGGCCAAUACAUACAGGUGUUCCCAACAACAGGUGUCAUCAUUGAUCUUUCUUGGGUCUCACUGCUGAAGAAUGGGGCUGUAAGAUGAUUUCAACAAACAAUCCUUGACAGGAAACCAAAGGCAACAAGGCACAGGGACAGACAGCUGACAAAUGCAGUAUGGGGCCAUUAAAGCAUGUGAUGAAUUUGCCAGGAAAGUAUAUAUUUGUGCAAGAGGUGAGCUCAUAUCUCCCAUAAAUUUGUCAGCCGUGACACAGUGUUCUCCGGCUUGGCAUGAGUAAUGCCUUGCUAUUUGCGCCUUUGUCUGGCAAAAGCUCUAUCAGUCACUCCAGGGUUAUUUACAAAGAAACGUGUCUAUCAGUUACAAGGACAUGACUUUGCUGCUAAAAGAUAACAAAAGAAGAAAUCAGGCAGUGGCCUCUCAGCGAGGGAUGCGUCUUUUCCAGACAAGCUCUGGACUGGAAUGAAUCAGAUGGACGGCAAUUGGCCGGGCUGGCCCAGUGCCUGGCAUGACCAGCCUUAGUGCAUUUAUCCACACUGAUUAGAUUAGAAAUUAUUAAUAGGGGGCUACGGAGUAGAGCAAAAGGUCAUUUAGAGUUUAAUUCUGUUCUCAGAUAACUUCAUUUCGGCUGAUGGGAUUGUUAUUGUAGGGGUUUUAUAUGUUUAUAGGAAACAAUAUACUCAAUAAUGAAGUCCUGCCUCCUUCUGCAAGGUCAGGAAAGCUAUUGUGUAGCUAGAUUGAAGUCUUCACAAUUGUGUUAAUUAAGUAACAGUGAUUGGACUUGGUCUUCUCUUGAAAUGCAUUUAAGAGCCUAAAAGCUGCUGAGAAUGUAUUCUUUCAAUAUAAAUAUAUAGUAAAGCAAGUGAGACCAGAAAGCAGCUGACGAUUGAGUAAACAGAAGAGCUGACAUGAAGCUUUUACUUAAGACAGGAGCCUGGUUGGCAGAUGUAACUUCUUGCCACAUAAAUACAAAUGUCUUGUCAGUUUAUGAUUAAACAUAACAGGUCCCUUUUUCUUACUCAAUUCCUGAUGAAUCUGAAAGAUAAAGCUGUAGAAAGUAUAGUUGAUGGUCUCAUCAGUUACUUUGUUGCCUUGCAGGCCUGCCCAUUUGAGGCAGAUGAUCAGAGUACGGUAAGAGGCAUGUCCUUCUCAGAUUAAAGGGCCAUAGCCUUGGUCUUGGCUCAUAGUCCAGGGUCAUUCUGGAGAGGGAACCCAGCUUUGUCCCCUCCUUUGGAGGGCUUAUAACUCAGAUAUUAACAUUUGCUGAAGAUGGUUGUAAUUUUUUUUGUUCUGAGGUACAAGAUCUCUUCUAAAUAGCUAAAAAAGAAUUUAGUUGAUUCUAAGUGAAAAGUGAGUUCAUGGAAAGCACUUUGUUGCCAUGUGUUUCUUAAAGACCACAGAAGACUUUUGGGCUCCAGUUAAGCAAGUCCCCUUCGAUUUGGCUCCAGAUGCAGUGAUACCCCACGAAGGGGAAGUUUAAAGUGAAACUUGGCAACUGGUGAUUGAGUCUUAUCUUCCCAACUCUCCUCCAACGCCCCCACCCACACAUAUAAGAGAACCACCAUCCAAAGACAGAACUUAGGAGAGUUGUUGAAUUGAAAUGAUAGUUUCAUUGAUGUAAGUUUUGUAAAAUACCUUUAAGGCAGAGAUUCUCAAAUGGAAGUGAUUUUGUCCCCCAAGGGACAUUUGACAAUGUCUGGAGACAUUGGGGUUGUAACAACUAGGAGUGGAUGAUUGCUACCGGCAUCUAGUGAGUGGAGCCAGAGAUGCUGGUAAACAUUCUGAAAUACCUGCCCCCUACAUAGAACAAACAGUCAUCCAGGCCAAAAUGUCAAUAGUGUGAAGGUUGAGGAACCCUGCUCUCAAGAACCUUUGAAUCAAUGAAGGAUGAGGAGUUGGGAGAGGUUACUCUCUCUAGGGAAUGGGUUACCAUACAGAAUUUCUACUUAGAAAAAAAAUCUAUAAUUAUGACAUUAUAAAUAAUCAUACUAGAAUUUGGAAAAAUUUCUUAUAAAAUGUGCUUGGCCAGGCA
RNAcentral lists this long non-coding RNA (2333 nucleotides) under Homo sapiens (human). Its description in RNAcentral is "HSALNT0303219". Lineage: Eukaryota; Metazoa; Chordata; Mammalia; Primates; Hominidae. The record is from RNAcentral.